RNAcentral lists this ribosomal RNA (742 nucleotides) under Bacillus cereus. RNAcentral's name for it is "bacterial SSU rRNA". It matches the Rfam family "Bacterial small subunit ribosomal RNA", at positions 57 to 779 of the family's 1533-position model. The record is from RNAcentral. Lineage: Bacteria; Bacillati; Bacillota; Bacilli; Caryophanales; Bacillaceae.
GCAAGUCGAGCGAAUGGAUUAAGAGCUUGCUCUUAUGAAGUUAGCGGCGGACGGGUGAGUAACACGUGGGUAACCUGCCCAUAAGACUGGGAUAACUCCGGGAAACCGGGGCUAAUACCGGAUAACAUUUUGAACCGCAUGGUUCGAAAUUGAAAGGCGGCUUCGGCUGUCACUUAUGGAUGGACCCGCGUCGCAUUAGCUAGUUGGUGAGGUAACGGCUCACCAAGGCAACGAUGCGUAGCCGACCUGAGAGGGUGAUCGGCCACACUGGGACUGAGACACGGCCCAGACUCCUACGGGAGGCAGCAGUAGGGAAUCUUCCGCAAUGGACGAAAGUCUGACGGAGCAACGCCGCGUGAGUGAUGAAGGCUUUCGGGUCGUAAAACUCUGUUGUUAGGGAAGAACAAGUGCUAGUUGAAUAAGCUGGCACCUUGACGGUACCUAACCAGAAAGCCACGGCUAACUACGUGCCAGCAGCCGCGGUAAUACGUAGGUGGCAAGCGUUAUCCGGAAUUAUUGGGCGUAAAGCGCGCGCAGGUGGUUUCUUAAGUCUGAUGUGAAAGCCCACGGCUCAACCGUGGAGGGUCAUUGGAAACUGGGAGACUUGAGUGCAGAAGAGGAAAGUGGAAUUCCAUGUGUAGCGGUGAAAUGCGUAGAGAUAUGGAGGAACACCAGUGGCGAAGGCGACUUUCUGGUCUGUAACUGACACUGAGGCGCGAAAGCGUGGGGAGCAAACAGGAUU